UGGGGAAUAUUGGACAAUGGGCGAAAGCCUGAUGGAGCAACGCCGCGUGUGUGAUGAAGGGUUUCGGCUCGUAAAACACUGUUGUAAGAGAAGAAUGACAUUGAGAGUAACUGUUCAAUGUGUGACGGUAUCUUACCAGAAAGGAACGGCUAAAUACGUGCCAG
This 164-nucleotide ribosomal RNA is filed under the name uncultured bacterium. Its description in RNAcentral is "partial 16S ribosomal RNA". It matches the Rfam family "Bacterial small subunit ribosomal RNA", at positions 355 to 511 of the family's 1533-position model. The record is from RNAcentral.